Molecule: ribosomal RNA, 250 nt
Filed under: uncultured bacterium
Lineage: Bacteria
Description: partial 16S ribosomal RNA
Rfam family: Bacterial small subunit ribosomal RNA
Source: RNAcentral
UACAGAGGGUGCAAGCGUUGUUCGGAAUUACUGGGCGUAAAGGGCGCGUAGGCGGCUUGGAAAGUCAGAUGUGAAAGCCCGGAGCCUAACUCCGGAUGUGCAUUUGAAACUCCCAAGCUUGAGUACAGUAGGGAUUGGCGGAAUACCCAGUGUAGAGGUGAAAUUCGUAGAUAUUGGGUAGAACACCGGUGGCGAAGGCGGCCAAUUGGGCUGUAACUGACGCUGAGGCGCGAAGGCGUGGGUAGCAAAC